AACACACCGCGUAACAUUAAUCGCAAACGAAAACGGUGAUCAGCUGCAGCAGAUAAAGUUGCAUUCUUUUAUACAAAAAUUUAAGACUUCAUUAAAAAUUUAGCAGGCUGCAGCUUAUAAUGUGGCUUCAGUUAAAAACGAAAAUUUCUUUGCUAGUCCUGCAACUGAUCGGCUUAAACGGCGUAUUGGUAGCCGGCGACAGUCAGCGAACACGCGAUCAAAUAUACACAAGCAUUAGCGGUGCCAGCUGUUUCAGACGCCUCAAUGGCACGCAUCAGACAGGUUGCUCUUCAAAACAAUUCGGCUCCGUUGGUGCGCUGCAUCUAAUACAAGUUGUAGAAGAUUUUGAAUUUUUACUGCGAAACCCACCUGCGCCUCCAUAUGCACCGAUGAUACCACCUCGCCUCUUCACACGCCAAAAUAUGCUGCGUUUGAAGAACGAAGGCAAAAAUAAUAUAUCUGUAGUGUUGCUCAUUAACGAUGUCGAUAAGAUGAUUCAAUUCUCACAUGAACUUACAUGCCCAAAUCAAUAUAGUGGCUUAUUAUUGCCUGACAGCAAGGAAACAGCGACAUGCGAUACGCAAAAUGCGGCGAAUUCGUGGAAUCCUUGGGGUACUGGACUGCUACAUGAAGACUUCCCCUUCCCCAUAUAUUACAUAGCAGACGAAGAGGAGGUCUAUAAGCUGAAGUCAUGUUUUGACAAAUUUAACAAUUUCGAUUACGAAGGACAUGCUACACGAAGUCUUUGCGCUGUAGAAGUAACUACAUUUAUGUCGGCUGCGGUUAAUUCAGAAGUUUGCAUGCGUCGUACGAAUUUCAUCAACAAUUUGGGGCCCACUAAAUUCUGCGAUCCCUUAGAGGGCAGCAAUGUUUAUGGCACACUUUACCCACGUAACCUCGUAGGAAGUACAGUGUCCGAAGAGAGUUCUCAAGUACGCAAAGUUGACCCAAGUGAAAAAUUUAUUUUAAUCAGUUGUAGAAUGGAUACUACGUCAAUGUUUGAAGGAUUAGGUCUGGGUGCCAUGGAUUCGUUAAUGGGUUAUGCGACAUUAAUGAGUUUAGCGGCAACUUUAAAACAAUACCUUCCAAAGAACUAUGCGGAUUUAACCACGAAAAGCAAUAUACUCUUUGUUAUAUUUAAUGGCGAAUCGUACGAUUAUAUCGGCUCACAACGAUUAGUCUAUGAUAUGGAAAACUUAGAGUUCCCCUUAAGCUCAACCCAAACAGCGCCGAUCUCUUUCGAAAAUGUUGAAUUAAUGAUCGAUAUUGGCUCAUUAGAUGAUAUUUCGACAAUAAAUGUGCAUGCAUUAAAUGCCACCGAUGAAGUGAAAGCAUUCGCAAUGCUUUUGAGUUCGCAUGGACAAAAUUUCAAUAUACAAUUUGAGUUAAAUGUGGGCAAAAAUUUGCCGCCUACUUCAGCACAAUCAUUCUUACGUAAAAUACAAACAUUCCCUGCAUUUAUAUUAAACGCGAAGCCGCAGAAUAGAUACUAUCACUCCAUCUAUGACAAUGCGGCAAACGUGAACUUCACCUACGGUAACUACACUGAACAAAACUACACUAAGCUCAUGUCAACAGAGGAGGCACUACGCUUUUUCACUGCCGAUUCAUUACAAAUGAAGAUACGCAAUGUGUCAACAAGUGUGGCAUUGACAUUGGCGCAAUUACUCUUAAUGCAAGAGCGUACAGAUAAGCAAUAUGCGAGUCCUUUGUUAGUGGAUGAGAUUUUGCAUUGUUUUCUACAAGCAUCUGAUUGUCGGCUUUUCAAAGACGCUUCGCCUGUGAAUAGCCUGCCUGGCCUGCCAUUUCCACCAAUGCGUUAUAUCAGUGUUGCUGGCAGCCCGGCCGAGUCUGCCGGUUGGACUUAUCGCCUACUCGGCUUAUUAUUGUCAUCGGAAGAACCAGAUAUUACCGAAGCAAAUUGUAAACCAUUACCGCUACAAUGGAUUACCGGUCAAAAAGGUGUAGGCGAAUGUCGACGGACUACGCAGAACUAUAGCCCCGCUUUGAGUCCCGCAUUUUUAAUCGAGAACUAUGAUUGGAAAUCUGGUGAAUACUCAACCUGGACUGAGUCGACUUGGACACAGUUCAGUGCACGCAUGUUCCUACGGCCGUCCAGAAUACAUGAAAUCAUCACACUCUCCAUUGGCAUUGUUGUGCUGAUAAUAUCGUUUUGUUUGGUUUACAUCAUUAGCAGUCGCUCGGAAGUGCUAUUCGAAGGCGCAACGACAAGUUCCGAUGCGUUAACGGCUCCAACUGCUUGUUAAUACAAUAAUAAUAAUAAUAAUACAAAACAAUGUGUUGUAAACAUAAAUGACAGGACCGUCUCUCUCUGAUUAAAAUUUAAUUGGAAAUGCCAAAAUAUACAACAUACACACUCAACAACAACAACAAAACAAUAAUUGUACUGUCUACUCAUCCAAUAUCUUCAUAAUCAUCAGCCACACUAAAACCAUUCUCCAACACCAACACACCGUCUGUUUCAACUAACCGUUAUAAAAUAGUUCACAAUCAGCAUACACUAGAGCACUCGUUAAUUGGUAACAAAAUAUAUGUACAAUUCGACACAAGCUGAUGCAAACAGAGACGCACACACUCCAGUUGCCGUACGUACUACACUUAAAGACUGCUGCCAAGUUGUUACAUUUUUACCAAAAUAAAAACCACGAUACCAUAAAAUAAAGUAGUUAAACUAAGUACUGCAGACACGAGUUUAAGGGUGUUCCUUGGAUUGAUUGCACUCGCCAUUUAAAAGCGUCUUACUAUAAAUUCUUGCUUUGCAUACAUUUUGAACUAAUUGUUUAGCGCAAACGUAAUAAGUACUAAAUUUUUAAUCAUCAAUAAUGUGGACUUUGUGUGUGUCAUAUGCCCAUACGACAUCUUCAUGCAAUUCGUUUUGUAAUCUCAUUUUUUAACUCAAUAACACAUUGGUACAUACUAAUAUAUGCUAUAAAAGACAAGUUGAUAUUCUAUUUCAUUACUAAUUAACUUUGUAUUACUCAAUAUGUUUCCAGAUAUUCGUAUAGUGCAUUAUAGUUAAGCAAUCGCAGUAUUGGCAAAAAAUUGUGUAUGAAUAUUAAAAAAAUUAAUCAAAUAAAUUUUAACGAUACUCUGGUUUACUUAUAAAUUGUAAAGUUUACUUAUAGCAAUUACUUUCGUAUUUUUCAAAUAAAUUAUAUAUUUCUAAAUUUACUAUUCUAUAGACAGUAAGUCAAAGUUAUAUACUAUUUUUUGUAUAUACAUAUAAGAGAAACAAAAAUAUCGUAAUUAUAAGUGCUUUAUGGAAAAAAAAAAUUAUUUUUAUUCAACGAAUGUUACGAAAGUGUCAUUCAUUUAUUUAUAAUAUAAAUGCGUGUGAAAACGUAAUUUCGUAGAAACAAACGCAGUUUGUCAAGUAAGUUUCGUGUGUGUUUUUGAAAUUCUUUUGAAAUGCAUUAAUGCAAAAAUGUAUGUUUCUUGUAUGAACAAUAAUAUUGUAUACAGACAUUUACUAGAAUACAUAAUA
Molecule: RNA transcript, 3505 nt
Organism: Anastrepha obliqua
Lineage: Eukaryota; Metazoa; Arthropoda; Insecta; Diptera; Tephritidae
Gene: Nct
Gene name: nicastrin
Exons: 8
Source: RefSeq, a predicted model, not a curated record